Molecule: long non-coding RNA, 2089 nt
Organism: Hypomesus transpacificus
Lineage: Eukaryota; Metazoa; Chordata; Actinopteri; Osmeriformes; Osmeridae
Exons: 3
Source: RefSeq, a predicted model, not a curated record
UUGUCCAACCACACCUCCGUUUUGUUUGUUUUAUGUUGAUUAUAAAGAUAAUUAUUAUGAUAAUGUGUAGCAAUUUAAGAUCCUGGAUUUAACAAAUCUUCUCAAGCUAAAUGCAGUAUGAUUCGAACCCCCUCAAUCAGAGUGGCCUGUGAUACAUUUUCCAAAGUUCCAGUCAUCUCUUACCAAAGCAGGGGAGAUUGGAAACCUCUGCUCUGCUUGUCAGACUGCACCGUCAUCCUAUGAAAAGAUUAACAUUGGGUAGGUCAGGGCUGUGGGAUGAAUUCCCCAGGCAGGAAAAACCGCUGGCGCCAGAUAACCUGGUAGAGCCAGUUUUAUUCAUGUGGGUUUGUACAAAAAUAACAAUCUAGUAUGUACAAUGUUUUCUGUGCCAUAUAUUUCAUAGAUGACAGAUGGUGUGGAACAGGGACUACAUGGGUAGUCCGAUGAACAAGCAGUUUUAAGUUAUUUAUAGAACACUGAUUUGGCUUUGACGCUUUAUAGUUUAAAUGUGUCAUGUCCUUAAAGGGAACUGAGUUGAAACCAAAGUUAAGCCCACCAAAGGACCGAUUGCACAUGUAAAAUUGCUCAUCAUUUGAGACCCUUAUUGCCAUGAUACAUUUGACUGAUGGUAAAAGAAAAAAUACGAUAGAAGUGUUACUGUAUUUCCUAUUUCCUGGUAUGCUUUUGGGGGCAAGCAGUGGUCACAGGUUAGGCAACAGUAUUCGCAUGAUGCACUAGCUUGCCUCAUGUGACAAGCGCAUGAUAUCCACGUCAGUCUUGACUCAAGAGUGGGUUGAGCCUCAAUGGAAUGUGUUUGUACCAAUAAAUCUGCUGUACUUUGCACCAGCUGUUUAUUAUAAGGCGUGAGUGUCCCACAAACAACUCCUAUAAAAGCCCAUUUCAAGCAGCUGUGAGUGCAACAUGAAAAUUAAUUUGUAAAGAACGAAUGGUUGAUUUGGUAACCCAAUCAAGUAUGACACAAACGUGUUGUUCACAACGGGAGAAAAUAAUCAUAUUUAAACACUGUUUUGGUUAGUUCCAGGGUCUGCCAACUGUGUUGGAUACAAAGGUUGUUUUGAAAACAGCAAGCUACGCAAGUUUCUGUCGGGGCAAAUGACCAAUACCAAUGGCUGGUGUGGGUGAGUGGGACCUGUCUGGCAACAUUAUUGCCCUACACACGGAAUUAAGGUGUGGCAGUUUCACAAGUCAUUCAAUGCGUCAACAAGCUAAUGGUUGAACGGUCACUAACCGUAAGGCCUUUCACAGGUAGGCUUACUUCUGAUCAUAUAACUGGAAUAGUUCAAACGUUUCCUGCUUUUGAUUUCGUCGAAACGGAACCAUGGUAAAGGGCGAGUUACCAGAUUAAAUCCAAUAUGCCCCGUCAGCACAUCUAAAGUUGAUCGCCUACUUUAAUGUUUUUCCAUACACGAUGGAGAAAGCUCGUAUAAGACAUACAGGAGGAUGUCAUUGUGGGGCUGUAAGAUUUGAAGUCUGGAAUUCUCCAGACAUCAUAGUUUUCGAAUGCAAGUAUGACUGUCUAAAAUAAUGACUCCAACAUUCACGUGACAUUUUCAUGCCAAUAGCAUCUUUAACUACUUAUUCAUUCUUAUUUAAACAUAAGGCAAUUAUGAUUUAGGAGCCAUGUUUUUUUUCUACAGCUGUAGCAUUUGUACAAAAAAGCAGAACCGUCAUUUUAUUGUGGCUAAAAAGUACUUCACACUCUUACAGGGUUUGGAUAGUUUGACCACAUACACAUUUAACACCCACACUGCCAAGCACACAUUUUGCAGUAUAUGUGGAGUUCAGAGUUUCUAUUCCCCACGCUCCAAUCCGGAUGGAUAUGGUAUAGCUCCACACUGUCUGGAUCCUGGAACUGUCUGCAGUGUGACGUCAGAGAGGUUCUGUGGUGAGAACUGGGAGGAGAGCAUGCAAAGUCACAAGACUAUCAGGGACAUGUCCAAACCUGUACAAGACAGCACUCACGCUUGAGAAAAACAUACAUCUACCUUUAUUUCCCAUUAUUAUACAUAGUAAUGACAACAUUUGUAUUUCUGUUAUCAUUUUGAAGAAAUAUAAACUUUAUUGAUAA